Molecule: ribosomal RNA, 197 nt
Filed under: uncultured bacterium
Lineage: Bacteria
Description: partial 16S ribosomal RNA
Rfam family: Bacterial small subunit ribosomal RNA
Source: RNAcentral
ACGCUCGACACCUACAGGAGGCAGCAGUCGGGAAUAUUGCGCAAUGGAGGAAACUCUGACGCAGUGACGCCGCGUAUAGGGAGAAGGUUUUCGGAUUGUAAACUAUUGUCGUUAGGGAAGAGAAAGGACAGUACCUAAGGAGGAAGCUCCGGCUAACUACGUGCGCAGCCGCGGUAAUCUGAGCGGGCUGGCAAGGC